Peromyscus maniculatus bairdii (prairie deer mouse) is the source of this 2224-nucleotide non-coding RNA. The record is from RefSeq and is a predicted model, not a curated record. Lineage: Eukaryota; Metazoa; Chordata; Mammalia; Rodentia; Cricetidae.
UAUGUGGACAGCAAUAAAGAGAUUAAGAGUCCAAGAGCUGGGACUUGAGCUCUGAUGACCAAUCCCAAGGCCAAAAGCAUAUUGAGCUGACUCGGAAAGGAGGAGAACCUCUCCUGGGACAGGAGUUUGCUCUGCCCACUGAGGACCAUGAAGCAGAAGGCACCCAUGAAGCCAUGCCCUGCGUGCCGACAGCCUGGACACUGGAGAUCGGAAUGCCCUGUGUGGGCUCAUCCUCUACGCCACAUCACCGAGGUCCAGCCUUGCCAACACCGGCAUCUGACUUCCGGCCUCUGAACUCCUAAGCCUGGCAGAAGACUGUCUGGAACCUAAACUUGGUGACUCCCAUUUCCUCUCCAAGCCUGGGGUGGCACUGCCAGUAGUGGCAACCUGCCUUCUCAACUCUGUCAAAGAACAGAUGCCUGAGGACUCCACGAUGACAGCCAACUGAAUGCCUCUUCGCUCACACUUCCCACCAUGCGUGACCCUGACUCCCAACUUCCCCCUCCCACUUCGCUCCUUGUCGGCAGGAAGCAGUCUGGAGAAUUCAGCGCCCUUAUUUCCCCCACUUGCUAUCCAUAACUCAGCUUUUUAUAAUAAUCAAAAAGGGAGGAAUGUUAGCAUUCAGAUCCACUUCUUGGAAUCCUGUCCAAUAAGCAGAUAAUACCCUGGCCCACCCAGCAUCCUGAUGUCAUCCUACAUUCCUAUUCCCUUUAAGAAAGGAUUCUUCUCCUUUGGCUUUCUCUCUCUUUCUCUUCUUGCCACAAGGUAGCAUGCAACUUCCCCCUCCAUUCUCUCUCUCCUCCUAUCUCUCUCUUUACCUCCCCCUCUCUCUUCACCCCACCAAAUAAAACUCUCCACUGAGUGCUGUCUGUAUGCAUCUCUGUUUCUUACCCACUGUAAGGCACCUUGGCUCCACCCACCAAGGCCUCUUUCUUGCUGUAUCACAACACUGGACACUUUGUGGGUCCAAUAAGUAUCCCUGGACAGUGGACACCUCAAAUCAAAUUACUCAGGCCCAAGCAAUGUAGGUAACAUCUGCUUCUUAUGGUGGCUCUGUAAAAUGACCAGUGGCAGGAAGAAAUUCUAGUGUAGAUGUGCUGUGUGACUAUAGGCAACAAAGGCUCAGGCACUAUUUUUCCAGGCUGGCUGUAGCUUUUAUGACUUUUCUCUUUACCACAAAACUGGCUGCUUAUAACUGCCACAAAACUCUGCAGUGUGAGCAAUGCUUGAAAGCUGGAGUUACAACCAUAAAGCAGUCAUCUUAUGGAGCAGUAGCCUCGGAUCAAGUAUGUAGAAGAGGCAGCUUUGACCAUCCACUCUUCUUCCCCCGUUGUCUGCUUUGCUCACAUAAUUGUCUCCCUUGGCAAUGAAUGCUUUUACAGCAGCCUGGGGAUGGAGGAGGCAGAGUUGUCAUAGACAAAUUUAACAGUUUGUUACUCUCAAGAUUCCUCUCUACAUCCAAUUAAGGACAGCCAACACAGGGCAGAUUCCUAUUAUCCUGCCUCCAGCAGGACAUGACAGUAGGAAAAAUAGGAAGCCCUGAGGUCCUGAGAACUCCAUGACUCUCUGGGGGCCUGCCUUCUGGAUGCUCUGGGGUUUCUAUAUCCCCAGCAAUGCUACAAGAGUUGGGUUGGGGAGCUAUUGCUUUUGCCAGGUAGACAUGGGUUGGUGAACAGAGGUGCUCUGAGCAUAGUAUGCACAGGUUGAGCGGCAGAUGAGGAUUCAUCCCUCCUCAUCUAGCCUUUAUCCAUCUAUAUUCAGGAGCCUCUUAGGCUCUGAUCACCCCUCCCUGCCCUAAAGCCACUGACUGGGCUAGAAACCUAAAAUGAUGAGGUAUCUGCUUCCACUUAGAAUGCACAGCACUCACCCUGGAAGUGACUAUAACCUUGGAUCAGUUGCUGGAGAUGGCUGUUUAUAGAUACAUAAUGCCUUUUCUAGGGAACAUAGAUCUGAAUGAAUACACAGCCACAGAGAAGGGGGGUGUGGAUAUAGAAAUAAGUUAGCUCACAGUAGGCAGUAAGAGGAAAAGAGACCAUAGUAAAAACUGUAAGUUAUCUACACAUGCUUCUCUGGAAAUGGAUAUCAAGGGGAAAGGAAAUAUAAGGCUUAAAACAGCUAAGCUGUGGAGCUGCCAGAAAGUUGGUCAGGGAGCUCCAAGGAUGGCUCCAGCCAGCCAGGCAUGUGUAGCAUGAAUCUUAAAAGGUCUUAUUAAUAAAAAGAAAAC